GGAAAUGUGGCUUAGUGGUAGAGUACUUGCCUAGCAUGCAUGAAGUCCUGGGUUCAAUUCCUCAGCACCA
Molecule: transfer RNA, 70 nt
Filed under: Dipodomys ordii (Ord's kangaroo rat)
Lineage: Eukaryota; Metazoa; Chordata; Mammalia; Rodentia; Heteromyidae
Rfam family: tRNA
About the family: Transfer RNA (tRNA) molecules are approximately 80 nucleotides in length.
Source: Rfam by way of RNAcentral